GGUUGUCGUCAGCUCGUGUCGUGAGAUGUGGGUUAAGUCCCGCAACGAGCGCAACCCUUAUUGCUAGUUACCAUCAUUGAGUUGGGGACUCUAGCGAGACUGCCAGCGAUAAGCUGGAGGAAGUGGGGAUGACGUCAAAUCAUCAUGCCCCUUAUGACCUGGGCUACAAACGUGAUACAAUGGCUGGAACAAAGGGAGGCGAAGGGGUGACCUGGAGCGAAACCCAAAAAUACAGUCUCAGUUCGGAUUGAAGUCUGCAACUCGACUUCAUGAAGUCGGAAUCGCUAGUAAUCGCGGAUCAGAACGCCGCGGUGAAUACGUUCUCGGGGUUU
RNAcentral lists this ribosomal RNA (332 nucleotides) under uncultured Acholeplasma sp. Its description in RNAcentral is "bacterial SSU rRNA". It matches the Rfam family "Bacterial small subunit ribosomal RNA", at positions 1047 to 1382 of the family's 1533-position model. Lineage: Bacteria; Bacillati; Mycoplasmatota; Mollicutes; Acholeplasmatales; Acholeplasmataceae. The record is from RNAcentral.